GCCCCAGCGGCCUGAGGCCGGUGAUUGGUCGAAAGUGCCAAGCUGCGCCCGCCUUAUCCGGUUCGCUCUGCACGCUCCGAUUGGCCAUUUGCUGCGGGGGCGGGGCUGUAGGGAGGCGUGCCAAGGUCAGAGACUUGGAAGCAGGGAAAGGGGAAUGAAGUUGCUAGAAUUGACUGAGAUCACUUGAGGAACAGCUGCUCCGUUCUUCCGCCGGCUGUAUUCCGGCUUUCAGAAAGCCUGGAAUGAAUUCCUGAGCAAGCUACAGUUCUAGAACUGUUAGAAUAAAGCAAGAGAGGAAAGCCAGAAUGUCAGACGUACAAGUUGUUCCCAUACCAGUUUGUGAACUGGGGUUCAUCUAUGAUGAAGUUUCUGCAGAUCAACAGAGAAAUGAGAAAAGUAUAUACAUUUCUGUUUAGACAUGAAAUUACCGGGCAGAAUUGCUGCGUUUUGGAAGUGAUUUUCCUGAAAUUGGAUGAGGAGCCCACUACUCAUGCUUCUCAAGCUUUUCCAUCGCAGUAUUCCUCAUGGCAGAGAAGGAUGGAGGCUGCUUCCCAGGGCAUGAGAUAGCUUCUGAAGGUACAGCAAGGGAGAAAUUUCUCUCAUAUUUUAUUUGAAGAAUUUGUUGGAACUUUGCAGUUGCUUUUUUAUUGUAUAUUGUAUAUAUAUUUCUAUUAGGCUUGGUAUAGUGCUUUAUAAUAGCAUGUUCAAUAUAUGUUAAUUGUUAUUGAUCAUGGAAUCCUGGGAGGAAAAGAAGCAAUGAACUUCCAAGCUAUUGUUCCACUUUCUUUCUGGUAAAAGGUUCUUGAGUCUGCAGUAGCAUCAACAGCAAUUUACAUGAUUAUACUAUGCGUGGAUUUUUGUUUGGAUUAAGGUCAAUUAAAUGUCCUUGAGUGAACACAGAUUUUUCUCUUGCUAUAAGUAGGAAAUUAAAAGUAGCUUUGAUCAUAUUUACUGCAGUGGAUGAUUAAGGCCAUCCAGGGGCAGUAUGAAAUAGAGAAGGAGCUAUCUACCCGGAGUCAGAGCUUUUCUCCUGAUGUGUACCUUACGUAGUCAGUUUGUGUCUUUGCUACCUGUGAAACAAGAAAGGGGGUAGUACAGUAUGGCAUAGUGGUUUUUAAGGACUUAAAAAAACAUGGUAAAUUUUAUUGAAAUGUUAUGUUGAGGGAAAGCGCACCACGCAUUGACAGUGAAAUGGAGCUACUGGGAUUCCUUGAAACACUGAAAACCCCUGAUGUAGAACAAAGAGCACUCUGGAGCCAGACUAAUAUUACUGCUUAGAAGCUCUGGGGCCUUUAGUAAGAUAUAUCUCUGAGCCUCAAUUUUCUUAUCUAUAAAAUGGGAAUAAGAAUGAUAAUCGCCUCAGAGGAUUGACAUAAGCAUUAAAUGAGAUAAUACAGUCGAAGCUCUUAGCAUAGAGCCUGGUAUAUAUAAGUGCUUCCCCAUGUGGUGUAUACCUAAGAGCUACUUGCUCAAAACUCUACUUUCUUCUGAAGAAGCUGUAAGAAACAAAGCUUGGGAGUUGUCAGCAGUUAGCACAGAUUUCCUUCAGUGAAAUAGGCCAUCUAUGGAGAGGCAGAUAAAAGAGCAAGUAAGUGGAGAGCAACAGGAGACACAAGACACCAAGGAGCCUGUUGGUGAUUGAGUUCCUGUUUCUGAUUGUUCCUGAGACCUAAUUUGAUUCUUAUCCUCAGUUCAUUGAGAAACCCCAAGAUCUUAUAAUAAAUUUCUCUUUUCCUUAGUGAGGAUUCUGGAUUAUGCCAUGAUGUCGCAGUUAAACUAGAAAUUAUGCUUUCCAAAAUCUCCUUCCAUGCUCAGUUCUGGGUUAGAGUUGACCAAAGAGGAACUACCAAGAGAGUAAAGGGAAGCAAAGACCAUUUUUCUUGGAAGGGCAAUCUUGGUCAGAUAGACACAGAAGUACUUGUGGU
This is an RNA transcript of Myotis myotis, 1925 nucleotides long. RefSeq lists it as uncharacterized. The transcript has 4 exons. The record is from RefSeq and is a predicted model, not a curated record. Lineage: Eukaryota; Metazoa; Chordata; Mammalia; Chiroptera; Vespertilionidae.